AUGGCACUGGUACACACCCUCAUCCUCCUUUCGCAGGGGGUUGAUCAAAAUCCAGGCCGUGGCCUCAUGGUCAGAAGGGCCCCCUCGCACUUGGACAGCUAUAUUGACAUGGUCCCCAGGCAGCUCCUCCAGUGCUUGGGUGCCCUCAGGGGACUUCGUGACCUUUCUCCACGUGAUGACUGGGGUAGGCACAGCCCUCACUUCACAGGACAGGCCCACCUGCGCCCCGGUGACGUUGUGAACACUUCGGGGAGGAACGACGACCACAGGAGCGAACUCGCAAGGGCCGUCGCGCGCCUUGUGCAGCAUAUAACAUCAAGUUUCCACAGGAAUUCCCAUAUUCCCACCAAUUGGAGAGAAAAAAAAAGCAGAUGCCAGAACAUAGAGAUCAGAUGCUGCCACACUGCCUAGAGACUGGAAAUGACAGCCUGCAACAAGCCACACCUGAAGGCUGCUCUUGAGGGCAGGAAAACAGAAGGUCCAAGGAGAAGGAAAACGCUGUUUUGGUUCCAUUUGAACCAAAAUGCUGGUAAAUGUUCACUUCAACUUUUUGUGGUUUUGUGUUCAUUUCAAA
This 574-nucleotide long non-coding RNA is filed under the name Pan troglodytes (chimpanzee). RNAcentral's name for it is "lncRNA (ENSPTRG00000053509.1)". The record is from RNAcentral. Lineage: Eukaryota; Metazoa; Chordata; Mammalia; Primates; Hominidae.